RNAcentral lists this long non-coding RNA (3476 nucleotides) under Aplysia californica (California sea hare). Its description in RNAcentral is "uncharacterized LOC106013501". Lineage: Eukaryota; Metazoa; Mollusca; Gastropoda; Aplysiida; Aplysiidae. The record is from RNAcentral.
UGUUUGUGUUGUGUUUACAGUUAUUUUGUUCUUAGUACUGUGUACCUACUAACUUUCUUCCCCUGGUUGUACUGAUUAUUAUUCAUGAUGGCGUUCUUAUAAUAAUAGAUUCUAGAUCUAUGCUAGGAACGGGCACGGGACAAAAUUAUAGAUAAAAAAAAAUUAUUUUGCUUCCAUAUGGUUGGCAGCGACCAGUAAAGUAGACAAGUUUCAUUUCAACAGUUGUUUGCUUAUUUCAUGCUCAGUCAUCUUAUAGCUGCGCCUAUUGGCAAAGUACUCAAAAUUAUCAUCAGGUAUCUUCUGUUUGCUUACAACUGUGCUCUGAGCUCCAAAACACAAGAGAACACCUCUUUGCCAACAUCAGCUUAUCUGUUUCUCCAGCACCUGUGGUAGCUUCGGACUUGCAUAAAGUAUCAAAAGAGAUGAAAAUAGUUUUGUAACCACCUCUCGGAGAGCUUCGUAUUUGCAUAUAAGUGUACCUCUCCAGAGCGUGCGGUCCCGUAUUUUGUUUGAGUCAGAGAGAGUCAAAUGCUGUAGAAAAAUUCACCAACCGUGAUUGCAGAUUGUCUCAAACAGCCAAUACAGACACAGAGAUCAGUAACAGUUGCUAGAGCCAGUGCAGCGUUCAGACGACUCGAAGGAAAAACAUCUGAGAGCACAGAGUAGAGACUUCAGUCUGAGCACAAAGCUGAAGGUUUAAGACAGCGUAGUGAUCUUUGCCAUCGUUCUCCUCUAUGUCAGUUUCAUACUUUGCACUUUUUGCCUGUCUUAUGACGCUAUUUCGUCAAAUUUAUUAUGUGAUGAACAGUAUUGAAGGUUACACAGUGUGUUUUUGAACAGUGCAGAUCUGUUUGCUUUUUGAAUAGAUCUUGAAUUUUGAACAGUGUGAGUGUUGCUAUAUUUUGUGUGCUAUUUCAUAGAGGAAGUAAUUCACAUUUGUGUUUCUCGUCAAAAUCUGCUUAGAAACCAAUUGACGUCAGUGGGAAUCUAUGUCGAAGAGGUUGAAAAGAACAUUGUGAGAUGGAAGCUUUGGCUGUUCCAGUUGAGGAAAAGUUGACUGCGAGCUUUUAGGAAAAUAAGACGUUUUGAAAUUUUUGAAAUGCAGAACUUUGUCCAAAGUUGAGAUGCAGAAAUAAUUCAGUGUCAAACUUCAUAGGAAGCAAGAUUCUAAGAAAAGAAACUCCAGUUUGGGACAAUUUAAGUGAACAAAAUUUGCCUUUAGACUUUAGGUUGCCUUUGCCAUUGUUAAUUUUGUUUAACAUUUGGCACCUUCGAUGUUUUUUUGUUGUGAUUGAUUUCAUCGAUCUUUUCACUGUGUUAAAUGUCCACCUGAAAACAGGCGUUCCUCCAGAGGACGGAGAGACACGUUGGACCGGCAAGAGAGGACGAGUCACUGGAGAGCCCGUCAUGAAGCCGGAAGACGUGGCCACUCAGCAGACCUAAGCCAAGACUGGCCUGAGCUGGAUUUCCAGCAGAGACUGCCACAGUUCCCCUUCCCCAUCCCCUCCCUUGCAGAAGUUGGAAGUACUGGGCCUCAUCGUGGCGCAAGGGUGAACACCCUGUUCAAACCACAAGACACAUGUCAUGCUGAAACAGGAGCAGACUGUGUGGAGAGGUUUGAGCUGGGUGGCCAACACAGUACUACACUCACCAGUGUGAAGGAUGAAUGGAGAGUCUAUAGGCAAGUGUGCAAAAUGUGAGCUGUUGGAUGUAGUUUGUUAAUGUAUUGAAUGAAGUCCAAACUUGAACCUCUUGUAUUUUUUUAAUGUAUGUUAUGUAUUUCUUUUAAGCAAAUUGUUAAAUCUAAGUUUUGACUACUGCCACAACUAGUAUUUUAUCUUUUAUGUCAUGUAUAUUGGGGCUGGAAGUGUAACAGUACACUACAGGUUUUUAAUGCUGUCCUCUGUUUAAUUCCCCUGACUGCCCAAUAUCAAGGGAAAUGACUCUAACAUGACUAAGUUAAGGAAAAUGUCAUAAUGAGUUAUUUCCUUUCGUACAAACUGGUGAGAUGGCCUGUAGGUUCCCUGCCUGCUUGAGAUGAUCAUUGAUUGCUAGCUCGCAGAGUUAUAUGAUGGUAAAAAGGAGAUUGUCACAGCGCAGUGGCUGAGCGGGUACAGUGUGUAGUGUGCACCUCUGCUUGUCAGAUCACUGAUGGUGUUGCUGGGAAAGUUUACUGUAGUUUAGUAAUGGCUGUACAACUUAGGUGCAUGGCAAGGGGGAAAUACUAUCGGGUGGUAUAGAUUAAGUACUCAAAACAUGUCCGAGAUCGACAAAAAUGUGUUUGGCGCUUUCUUAAUUCGGAUAAACCAAUACAAUGAAGCAUUUAACAGAUAUCAGUCGGGGAAUGGCAAGUUGUACAAGUUAUCUGUGCUUAAAUGUAAUAUAUCGUGUAUGUUUUUAUGAUAUCAGUGUUUCGUUUUGUGCCUUGAUAAAACCUGAUGGUAAGCAGGGCUGGCAGUAUCAGUUUGAUAUAAAAGCCUCUACUGUAUUACAAGCUUUUGUGAGUUAUUAUUGUUGAUUUAUUUGAUGUAGUCUGUCUACUUACAAGUAUUUAUUGCAUUGUAUCAUGCAGUUGCAUGAUUUGCUAUAGCACUGAUUAUUCCCCCUUUGUUUGGGAUUAUUUUUUUUGAGGUGUGGUAUAUUUUCGGUUUUCCUACUUUUUGUGUUCCUAUGUCUUUUAUGGCUCCAUUGACAUAAUUUAAGUCAUAUUUGAGACGUGCUUUUUUACCCUGCCUGUCAUGGUUAACACAGAAAAAUUGAGUUACUCGAUAAAUAUUUUCCCCACUCUGGAAUGGAACUCAGGUUUCUUGUGUGCGAUAGCUAAAUGCUUAACCCAUACGCCACAUGUGCCAGUCUUUUGGGGUUUAGACAUAGACUUUCUUCUCUUUAGUUUUAGACUCUUCUUCUAUUUUUAGGAUUAAUCAUAUAAACUUUUUUCCUUAGAACUUGUAAUGGACCAAAAGUGUUGAUUAUCCAGAUUAAUCCGGAAAUCUAUAUUUCUGGCUUUGUCUGGAUUUUGCCUAAUUUCAUAGACUUUAUAAUUUUUAGAAAGCCUUGGUACAAGUUGUUGUAAGACAGGAUGAAUGGUAAAUUUUGAGUAGGCCUACCCGUGCAUGUUUUCACAUGGCCUGAAAGUUCGAGAUUUUUUUUCUCCAACGCCAAUUGACAAAUGACCUCUGAUGGACUUUUUUUUCUGUCUGUGAUGAAACUCUCUGUCUCAACUUUCUGUUCAGAUGUGCUGUUUUACUUCUUCUGCGAUGUUUUAUUUUUGUCUUGGAUUGAUGCUGUUGUUGGGGACCUUGUUGAAUGGAAUCUUACAAUAUGAAGUUUUUACUGUGUAUUAUUUUUUAAAGCAGAUUUGGUUCAGUGUCGAAUUCAUGAGCCUGUAAUUUUUUCCCUGUGUGGAUAGAAGAAACAAUUAUAAAACAUAAGAAUUCAUAGAUGUAAUAAAGUACAUGAAUAGAAUUUUUCCAAAA